GGGCGGAGCUUACGUUUUUAUUUGCAUAAGGACAGUCUAUUUGAAGAUGUGUGUGAUAAGGAUGAUUGCCAUUAUAAUUAUAACUGAUUUCUAAUCACAUAUCAGUGUCAUCAAAGGAAUUUACAAAAGAAUGACUGGUCACUUUAUUGAUGAGUUUAUUCUAAAUCACCUAUCUAUAGAUGAACUGGUUUAUUAUGAGCGAAACGGUUAAACUCCGCC
Molecule: long non-coding RNA, 219 nt
Filed under: Mytilus galloprovincialis (Mediterranean mussel)
Lineage: Eukaryota; Metazoa; Mollusca; Bivalvia; Mytilida; Mytilidae
Source: RNAcentral